CGUGCACAUAGGGUACACGGAGGCACUCACGAAUUUGCGCAUGAUGGGACGCAUAAACACACAUCCCAUCGUGCACGAACAGGGCUAGGCAACGUGCACUGUUCGUGCGUGCCAUGUGUGUAGUAGGCCUGCACGGAUAGGCCUGUGCGCUAAGGGCAUGCACACAGUAGGCCUGUGUGAAGUGCUCUAUAUGUUGUAGGCCCUG
This 205-nucleotide long non-coding RNA is filed under the name Carica papaya (papaya). RNAcentral's name for it is "long non-coding RNA (CPAP_LNC008301)". Lineage: Eukaryota; Viridiplantae; Streptophyta; Magnoliopsida; Brassicales; Caricaceae. The record is from RNAcentral.